GCUGGGCACGGUGGCAUGUGCCUGUAGUCCCAGCUACUCAGGAGGCUGAGGUGGGAGGAUCGCUUGAGCCCAGGAGUUCUGGGCUGUAAUGCGCUAUGCCAAUGGGGUGUCCACACUAAAUUCGGCAUCAAUAUGGUGACCUCCUGGGAGUGGGGGACCACCAUGUUGCCUAAGGAGGGGUGAACCAUCCCAGGUCAGAAAUGGAGCAGAUCAAAACUCCUGUGCUGAUCAGUAGUGGGAUAGCGCCUGUGAAUAGCAACUACACUCCAGCCUGGGCAAUAUAGCAAGACCCCAUCUCU
Molecule: signal recognition particle RNA, 299 nt
Filed under: Cebus imitator (Panamanian white-faced capuchin)
Lineage: Eukaryota; Metazoa; Chordata; Mammalia; Primates; Cebidae
Description: Metazoan signal recognition particle RNA (ENSCCAG00000005965.1)
Rfam family: Metazoan signal recognition particle RNA
About the family: The signal recognition particle (SRP) is a universally conserved ribonucleoprotein. It is involved in the co-translational targeting of proteins to membranes.
Source: RNAcentral